Molecule: ribosomal RNA, 253 nt
Filed under: uncultured bacterium
Lineage: Bacteria
Description: partial 16S ribosomal RNA
Rfam family: Bacterial small subunit ribosomal RNA
Source: RNAcentral
GACGGAGGGUGCUAGCGUUGUUCGGAAUUACUGGGCGUAAAGGGCGCGUAGGCGGCCAUGUAAGUCGGGUGUGAACGCCCGGGGCUCAACCCCGGAACGGCACCCGAGACUGUGUGGCUCGAGACCGGAAGAGGUGAGUGGAAUACCCAGUGUAGAGGUGAAAUUCGUAGAUAUUGGGUGGAACACCGGUGGCGAAAGCGGCUCACUGGCCCGGUUCUGACGCUGAGGCGCGAAAGCGUGGGGAGCAAACAGG